ACUCCUACGGGAGGCAGCAGUGGGGAAUAUUGCACAAUGGGCGCAAGCCUGAUGCAGCGACGCCGCGUGAGGGAUGACGGCCUUCGGGUUGUAAACCUCUUUCAGCACGGACGAAGCGCAAGUGACGGUAUGUGCAGAAGAAGGACCGGCCAACUACGUGCCAGCAGCCGCGGUAAUACGUAGGGUCCGAGCGUUGUCCGGAAUUACUGGGCGUAAAGAGCUCGUAGGUGGUUUGUCGCGUUGUUCGUGAAAACUCACAACUCAAUUGUGGGCGUGCGGGCGAUACGGGCAGACUUGAGUACUGCAGGGGAGACUGGAAUUCCUGGUGUAGCGGUGGAAUGCGCAGAUAUCAGGAGGAACACCGGUGGCGAAGGCGGGUCUCUGGGCAGUAACUGACGCUGAGGAGCGAAAGCGUGGGGAGCGAACAGGAUUAGAUACCCUGGUAGUCCACGCCGUAAACGGUGGGUACUAGGUGUGGGUUUCCUUCCUUGGGAUCCGUGCCGUAGCUAACGCAUUAAGUACCCCGCCUGGGGAGUACGGCCGCAAGGCUAAAACUCAAAGAAAUUGACGGGGGCCCGCACAAGCGGCGGAGCAUGUGGAUUAAUUCGAUGCAACGCGAAGAACCUUACCUGGGUUUGACAUGCACAGGACGCUGGUAGAGAUAUCAGUUCCCUUGUGGCCUGUGUGCAGGUGGUGCAUGGCUGUCGUCAGCUCGUGUCGUGAGAUGUUGGGUUAAGUCCCGCAACGAGCGCAACCCUUGUCCUAUGUUGCCAGCGGGUUAUGCCGGGGACUCGUAGGAGACUGCCGGGGUCAACUCGGA
Molecule: ribosomal RNA, 820 nt
Filed under: uncultured Actinomycetes bacterium
Lineage: Bacteria; Bacillati; Actinomycetota; Actinomycetes
Description: bacterial SSU rRNA
Rfam family: Bacterial small subunit ribosomal RNA
Source: RNAcentral